GACGAACGCUGGCGGCAUGCCUAACACAUGCAAGUCGAACGGAGAUUAUUUCGGUAAUCUUAGUGGCGAACGGGUGAGUAACGCGUGGGCAACCUGCCCUCUAGAUGGGGACAACAUCCCGAAAGGGGUGCUAAUACCGAAUGUGACAGCAAUCUCGCAUGAGGAUGCUGUGAAAGAUGGCCUCUAUUUAUAAGCUAUCGCUAGAGGAUGGGCCUGCGUCUGAUUAGCUAGUUGGUGGGGUAACGGCCUACCAAGGCGAUGAUCAGUAGCCGGUCUGAGAGGAUGAACGGCCACAUUGGGACUGAGACACGGCCCAGACUCCUACGGGAGGCAGCAGUGGGGAAUCUUCCGCAAUGGGCGAAAGCCUGACGGAGCAAUGCCGCGUGAGUGAUGAAGGAAUUCGUUCCGUAAAGCUCUUUUGUUUAUGACGAAUGCGCAGAUUGUGAACAAUGAUCUGUAAUGACGGUAGUAAACGAAUAAGCCACGGCUAACUACGUG
Molecule: ribosomal RNA, 498 nt
Filed under: uncultured bacterium
Lineage: Bacteria
Description: partial 16S ribosomal RNA
Rfam family: Bacterial small subunit ribosomal RNA
Source: RNAcentral